UGGCGACCGGCGCACGGGUGAGUAACACGUAUCCAACCUGCCGAUGACUCGGGGAUAGCCUUUCGAAAGAAAGAUUAAUACCCGAUGGCAUAGUUCUUCCGCAUGGUAGAACUAUUAAAGAAUUUCGGUCAUCGAUGGGGAUGCGUUCCAUUAGGUUGUUGGCGGGGUAACGGGCCCACCAAGCCUUCGAUGGAUAGGGGUUCUGAGAGGAAGGCCCCCACCAUUGGAACUGAGACACGGUCCAAACUCCUACGGGAGGCAGCAUG
Molecule: ribosomal RNA, 266 nt
Filed under: uncultured bacterium
Lineage: Bacteria
Description: partial 16S ribosomal RNA
Rfam family: Bacterial small subunit ribosomal RNA
Source: RNAcentral